GAUGAAGAACGUAGCGAAAUGCGAUACGUAAUGUGAAUUGCAGAAUUCAGUGAAUCAUCGAGUCUUUGAACGCACAUUGCGCCCCCUGGUAUUCCGGGGGGCAUGCCUGUCCGAGCGUCAUUGCUGCCCUCAAGCACGGCUUGUGUGUUGGGCCUCCGUCCUCCUCCCGGGGGACGGGCCCGAAAGGCAGCGGCGGCACCGCGUCCGGUCCUCGAGCGUAUGGGGCUUCGUCACCCGCUCUUGUAGGCCCGGCCGGCGCUUGCCGACACAUCAAUCUUUUUUCCAGGUUGACCUCGGAUCAGGUAGGGAUACCCUCUGAACUUAAGCAUAUCAAUAAGCGGAGGA
This 345-nucleotide unclassified non-coding RNA is filed under the name soil metagenome. RNAcentral's name for it is "partial contains 5.8S ribosomal RNA, internal transcribed spacer 2, and large subunit ribosomal RNA". The stretch from base 1 to 120 matches the Rfam family "5.8S ribosomal RNA", at positions 35 to 154 of the family's 154-position model. The record is from RNAcentral.